Molecule: ribosomal RNA, 229 nt
Filed under: uncultured bacterium
Lineage: Bacteria
Description: partial 16S ribosomal RNA
Rfam family: Bacterial small subunit ribosomal RNA
Source: RNAcentral
ACUCCUACGGGAGGCAGCAGUGGGGAAUAUUGCACAAUGGGCGCAAGCCUGAUGCAGCCAUGCCGCGUGUAUGAAGAAGGCCUUCGGGUUGUAAAGUACUUUCAGCAGUGAGGAAGGUGGGUAUGUUAAUAGCCAUACUUCAUUUGACGUUAGCUGCAGAAGAAGCACCGGCUAACUCCGUGCCAGCAGCCGCGGUAAUACGGAGGGUGCGAGCGUUAAUCGGAAUUGA